This 472-nucleotide ribosomal RNA is filed under the name Streptococcus sanguinis. Its description in RNAcentral is "bacterial SSU rRNA". It matches the Rfam family "Bacterial small subunit ribosomal RNA", at positions 28 to 483 of the family's 1533-position model. Lineage: Bacteria; Bacillati; Bacillota; Bacilli; Lactobacillales; Streptococcaceae. The record is from RNAcentral.
GACGAACGCUGGCGGCGUGCCUAAUACAUGCAAGUAGAACGCUGAAGAGAGGAGCUUGCUCUUCUUGGAUGAGUUGCGAACGGGUGAGUAACGCGUAGGUAACCUGCCUGGUAGCGGGGGAUAACUAUUGGAAACGAUAGCUAAUACCGCAUAAAAUUGAUUAUUGCAUGAUAAUUGAUUGAAAGAUGCAAUUGCAUCACUACCAGAUGGACCUGCGUUGUAUUAGCUAGUUGGUGAGGUAACGGCUCACCAAGGCGACGAUACAUAGCCGACCUGAGAGGGUGAUCGGCCACACUGGGACUGAGACACGGCCCAGACUCCUACGGGAGGCAGCAGUAGGGAAUCUUCGGCAAUGGGGGGAACCCUGACCGAGCAACGCCGCGUGAGUGAAGAAGGUUUUCGGAUCGUAAAGCUCUGUUGUAAGAGAAGAACGGGUGUGAGAGUGGAAAGUUCACACUGUGACGGAUCUACC